ACGGGAGGCAGCAGUGGGGAAUAUUGCACAAUGGGGGAAACCCUGAUGCAGCGACGCCGCGUGAGUGAAGAAGUAUUUCGGUAUGUAAAGCUCUAUCAGCAGGAAAGAAAAUGACGGUACCUGACUAAGAGGCCCCGGCUAACUACGUGCCAGCAGCCGCGGUAAUACGUAGGGGGCAAGCGUUAUCCGGAUUUACUGGGUGUAAAGGGAGCGUAGACGGUAAGGCAAGUCUGAAGUGAAAUGCCAGGGCUCAACCCUGGAACUGCUUUGGAAACUGUCCUACUAGAGUGCAGGAGAGGUAAGUGGAAUUCCUAGUGUAGCGGUGAAAUGCGUAGAUAUUAGGAGGAACACCAGUGGCGAAGGCGGCUUACUGGACUGUAACUGACGUUGAGGCUCGAAAGCGUGGGGAGCAAACAGGAUUAGAUACCCUGGUA
RNAcentral lists this ribosomal RNA (434 nucleotides) under uncultured Clostridium sp. RNAcentral describes it as "partial 16S ribosomal RNA". It matches the Rfam family "Bacterial small subunit ribosomal RNA", at positions 341 to 792 of the family's 1533-position model. The record is from RNAcentral. RNAcentral also lists the same sequence under 1 other name. Lineage: Bacteria; Bacillati; Bacillota; Clostridia; Eubacteriales; Clostridiaceae.